GAAUUAAAAAUUUAGAUAAUUUUAUACUAAAGCAUAGUAAGUUGCUUGCAAGUCACCAUGGUAAUCUCAGAUCAGAGGGCACUUAUACCUAUAUUCCUUCGAAAUAACUCUUGAUGACAGAGUUCUAGAGUUGGUCAAGUUCAGUGAAAUAUACUCCUAUAUUUCAUCUGCAUGCCAUACCAGCAUCUCCACGCUCCUUAGUUAAGCAAACAACCAACUUAUAUGAUACAUAAUAACCUACACUUGAUAUGUC
Molecule: long non-coding RNA, 253 nt
Filed under: Elaeis guineensis (African oil palm)
Lineage: Eukaryota; Viridiplantae; Streptophyta; Magnoliopsida; Arecales; Arecaceae
Description: long non-coding RNA (EGUI_LNC065391)
Source: RNAcentral